CAGUCGUACCUUCGGGUAAUCAGCCUUUCGGGUGCGAUUCUGUGGAGUUUGAGGAGCUUAACACCUUCAUGCUUUGCAUAUUCGUGCUCUUGGGUGUACUUGCCCGUGUGGUUGGUUAACAUCAAUUUCGGGCACCAUAAAAUGGCUGGAGGAAUGUAGCUUCGAUCUUGUAUUGAAGUGUUAUAGCCUUCGGUAGAUGUGGUGAUCGAGAUUGAGGAUUGCAACGGAUACCUUUCGGGGCUACCUGUCUGAUCUCUGAUCGUUGCUUUGGUGCUGAAAGCGUGCUUAUAGUUAUUAAAGUCGAUGGUCAAUAGGUUAGAAUGGGUUAAA
This 330-nucleotide ribosomal RNA is filed under the name uncultured Glomeromycotina. Its description in RNAcentral is "eukaryotic LSU rRNA". The record is from RNAcentral. Lineage: Eukaryota; Fungi; Glomeromycota.